GUUCCAUGAAAAGUAUUAUCUAUCAAUAUAUGCCCUUAUUACUCAGGAAGCAAAUGGAAUGACUGGCUUUCAGAAGGUGAGAUCAGAGAGAACAUUCAAGUUGGUUGCCCAGGAAUUAAGGACCGGGGGAAACGGCUGUUCACUUCCACCUCUGGCCCCCUGGACUCUCCUGAAGUACACAACUCUGACCACAGAGCUUUGCAGAGUAUAUGGCACCUAUGAGGAACUCACUCAAGGCAUCCUGCACAAAGAAUAUCAUUGUGUUUCCCAAACUGUCACUGGCUUCCUAUUGCUUAUGAAAUAAAAUCGAUGCGCUUUAUCCCAGUGGAUUAAAUUAAAUACUAAAUUGCCUUUCGAACAUUGCCUCUCACCUUUUGGUCUUGAAAUUUUUGUUCACAACUCUCCUAAAAGAAUGUUUAAAAACCAUUUAUAACCUCAUCCAUUUUUAAGUUGGUAUUGAACAAAUUUUACUGUGGGUUUAAAAAGUUACAAAAAUGUAAUUCUAAAUAUUAUGUCUUUAAUAAACAUAAUAAUUUACCAUA
RNAcentral lists this long non-coding RNA (542 nucleotides) under Homo sapiens (human). RNAcentral's name for it is "HSALNT0064666". Lineage: Eukaryota; Metazoa; Chordata; Mammalia; Primates; Hominidae. The record is from RNAcentral.